RNAcentral lists this ribosomal RNA (147 nucleotides) under uncultured eukaryote. RNAcentral's name for it is "partial 18S ribosomal RNA". The record is from RNAcentral.
UGGUGGAGUGACGGUGAUUUGUCUGGUUAAUUCCGUUAACGAACGUGCUAAAUAGUUUGGUUCCUGCAUAACUUCUUAGAGGGACUAUCAGUGGCCUAACCUGAUGGAAGUUCGAGGCAAAAUAUCAGGUCUGUGAGCCCUUAGAUG